RNAcentral lists this ribosomal RNA (492 nucleotides) under uncultured bacterium. Its description in RNAcentral is "partial 16S ribosomal RNA". It matches the Rfam family "Bacterial small subunit ribosomal RNA", at positions 29 to 507 of the family's 1533-position model. The record is from RNAcentral.
AGUGAACGCUGGCGGUAGGCCUAACACAUGCAAGUCGAACGGCAGCACAGUAAGAGCUUGCUCUUACGGGUGGCGAGUGGCGGACGGGUGAGGAAUACAUCGGAAUCUACUUUUUCGUGGGGGAUAACGUAGGGAAACUUACGCUAAUACCGCAUACGACAUACGGGUGAAAGCAGGGGAUCUUCGGACCUUGCGCGAUUGAAUGAGCCGAUGUCGGAUUAGCUAGUUGGCGGGGUAAAGGCCCACCAAGGCGACGAUCCGUAGCUGGUCUGAGAGGAUGAUCAGCCACACUGGAACUGAGACACGGUCCAGACUCCUACGGGAGGCAGCAGUGGGGAAUAUUGGACAAUGGGCGCAAGCCUGAUCCAGCCAUACCGCGUGGGUGAAGAAGGCCUUCGGGUUGUAAAGCCCUUUUGUUGGGAAAGAAAAGCAGCAGGUUAAUACCCCGCUGUUCUGACGGUACCCAAAGAAUAAGCACCGGCUAACUUCGUG